This 439-nucleotide ribosomal RNA is filed under the name uncultured bacterium. RNAcentral describes it as "partial 16S ribosomal RNA". It matches the Rfam family "Bacterial small subunit ribosomal RNA", at positions 339 to 795 of the family's 1533-position model. The record is from RNAcentral.
CUACGGGUCGCACCAGUGAGGAAUAUUGCACAAUGGGGGAAACCCUGAUGCAGCAACGCCGCGUGGAGGAUGACGCAUUUCGGUGUGUAAACUCCUUUUAUGAGUCAAGAAAAUGACGGUAGCUCAUGAAUAAGCACCGGCUAACUCCGUGCCAGCAGCCGCGGUAAUACGGAGGGUGCAAGCGUUACUCGGAAUCACUGGGCGUAAAGGACGCGUAGGCGGGAUGUCAAGUCAGGUGUGAAAUCCUAUGGCUCAACUAUAGAACUGCACUUGAAACUGGCAACCUAGAGUAUGGGAGGGGGAGAUGGAAUUAGUGGUGUAGGGGUAAAAUCCGUAGAUAUCACUAGGAAUACCGAAAGCGAAGGCGAUCUCCUGGAACAUUACUGACGCUAAGGCGUGAAAGCGUGGGGAGCAAACAGGAUUAGAUACCCGCGUAGUC